AAUUCCUAAUUGUGGCACCUUUUCUAAAAGAAAAUCUAUGUGGGGAGGUACAUCAAGGCCAUUUUAAUUUCCUCAAAAGUUUUCUCAUCAAAUGUGGAAAAUCGAAAAAAAGAACAUCCUAGGAUAAUGGAGAUGGGUGCAGCCACUGUCAUAAGUAAUUUAAUGUAUACCUCUAUGCAACGAUAAACCAUUACAAACGAAAAAACGAUUCUGAGUGCAGUUCAAAAUAAUUUGUGUUCCCUGUGUAAUUCGUUGUAAUCAAUAAUAUUAUUG
Cinara cedri is the source of this 273-nucleotide non-coding RNA. NCBI's taxonomy places the organism in Eukaryota, Metazoa, Arthropoda, Insecta, Hemiptera, Aphididae. The record is from the annotation of a GenBank genome assembly.